Molecule: ribosomal RNA, 1456 nt
Filed under: Amphiheterocytum lacustre
Lineage: Bacteria; Bacillati; Cyanobacteriota; Cyanophyceae; Nostocales; Aphanizomenonaceae
Description: 16S ribosomal RNA
Rfam family: Bacterial small subunit ribosomal RNA
Source: RNAcentral
AUGAACGCUGGCGGUAUGCUUAACACAUGCAAGUCGAACGGAAUGCUUAGGCAUUUAGUGGCGGACGGGUGAGUAACGCGUGAGAAUUUGGCUUCAGGUCGGGGACAACAGUUGGAAACGACUGCUAAUACCGGAUAUGCCGGAAGGUGAAAGAUUUAUUGCCUGAAGAUAAGCUCGCGUCUGAUUAGCUAGUAGGAGGGGUAAAAGCCCACCUAGGCGACGAUCAGUAGCUGGUCUGAGAGGAUGAUCAGCCACACUGGGACUGAGACACGGCCCAGACUCCUACGGGAGGCAGCAGUGGGGAAUUUUCCGCAAUGGGCGAAAGCCUGACGGAGCAAUACCGCGUGAGGGAGGAAGGCUCUUGGGUCGUAAACCUCUUUUCUCAAGGAAGAAGAAAGUGACGGUACUUGAGGAAUAAGCAUCGGCUAACUCCGUGCCAGCAGCCGCGGUAAUACGGAGGAUGCAAGCGUUAUCCGGAAUGAUUGGGCGUAAAGGGUCUGUAGGUGGUACUGAAAGUCUGCUGUUAAAGAAUCACGCUCAACGUGAUCAAAGCAGUGGAAACUACAGAACUAGAGUGCGGUAGGGGCAAAAGGAAUUCCUGGUGUAGCGGUGAAAUGCGUAGAUAUCAGGAAGAACACCGGUGGCGAAAGCGUUUUGCUAGACCGCAACUGACACUGAGGGACGAAAGCUAGGGGAGCGAAUGGGAUUAGAUACCCCAGUAGUCCUAGCCGUAAACGAUGGAUACUAGGCGUGGCUUGUAUCGACCCGAGCCGUGCCGGAGCUAACGCGUUAAGUAUCCCGCCUGGGGAGUACGCACGCAAGUGUGAAACUCAAAGGAAUUGACGGGGGCCCGCACAAGCGGUGGAGUAUGUGGUUUAAUUCGAUGCAACGCGAAGAACCUUACCAAGACUUGACAUCCUGCGAAUCCUGGUGAAAGCUGGGAGUGCCUUAGGGAGCGCAGAGACAGGUGGUGCAUGGCUGUCGUCAGCUCGUGUCGUGAGAUGUUGGGUUAAGUCCCGCAACGAGCGCAACCCUCGUUUUUAGUUGCCAGCAUUAAGAUGGGCACUCUAGAGAGACUGCCGGUGACAAACCGGAGGAAGGUGAGGAUGACGUCAAGUCAGCAUGCCCCUUACGUCUUGGGCUACACACGUACUACAAUGCUACGGACAAAGGGCAGCUACACGGCGAUGUGAUGCAAAUCUCAGAAACCGUAGCUCAGUUCAGAUCGAAGGCUGCAACUCGCCUUCGUGAAGGAGGAAUCGCUAGUAAUUGCAGGUCAGCAUACUGCAGUGAAUUCGUUCCCGGGCCUUGUACACACCGCCCGUCACACCAUGGAAGUUGGUCACGCCCGAAGUCAUUACCCCAACCGAAAGGAGGGGGAUGCCUAAGGUAGGACUGGUGACUGGGGUGAAGUCGUAACAAGGUAGCCGUACCGGAAGGUGUGGCUGGAUCACCU